AAUCAAUUACAAAAACAACAAUCAUGGCAGACAAGAAGGAAAAAAUUGCUGCUGCUCGAAAAAAGCUCAAGCAGUAUCAAUCGAAGCAAAAGACCGAGAGUUCCGG
Molecule: long non-coding RNA, 106 nt
Organism: Aedes aegypti (yellow fever mosquito)
Lineage: Eukaryota; Metazoa; Arthropoda; Insecta; Diptera; Culicidae
Exons: 2
Source: RefSeq, a predicted model, not a curated record